UACGUAGGGGGCAAGCGUUGUCCGGAUUUAUUGGGCGUAAAGCGCGUGUAGGUGGCCAAUCAGGUCCGCUGUGAAAACUCGAGGCUCAACCUCGAGAUGUCGGUGGAAACCGCUUGGCUAGAGUCCGGAAGGGGCAACUGGAAUUCUCGGUGUAGCGGUGAAAUGCGUAGAUAUCGAGAGGAACACCUGCGGCGAAGGCGGGUUGCUGGGCCGACACUGACGCUGAUGCGCGAAAGCCAGGGGAGCGAACGGG
Molecule: ribosomal RNA, 253 nt
Filed under: uncultured bacterium
Lineage: Bacteria
Description: partial 16S ribosomal RNA
Rfam family: Bacterial small subunit ribosomal RNA
Source: RNAcentral